RNAcentral lists this unclassified non-coding RNA (4021 nucleotides) under Hevea brasiliensis (rubber tree). Lineage: Eukaryota; Viridiplantae; Streptophyta; Magnoliopsida; Malpighiales; Euphorbiaceae. The record is from RNAcentral.
CAACAGAUUUGGUACAACAAACAUGAUAAGCAAACGCAAAACAAAGUUACAAUAAGAGGUUUCAGAAGUUUCUUCAGCCCUUUCCAAGUCAUAAUUGUGCUUACCUUUACAGAAGUAUAUUGGGCAAUGGCCACUCUACAUAGAAUGAUUAUGAUCAUCAGUCAAGACACCUCAUGUUGUCGUUCAAAUAAUCUAAAGGGCAAUGGACCUAAAUAUUAGAUCACCCAACAAUGCGUAAACUGGGUUUGAAAGGAGCCCAAUCAAGUAGGAACUCUGACGCACUAAUUCUGACAGCCUACUAAUAGAUCAGGAAUUAGAGAUAGAAAAAUGGAAAUCAGUUCCAGAACUAAUUUUCUUUCCCCCCUAUUGCUUCCUAAAUGAUGAGAUUACAAUUAUGUUACAAAUUUUAGCAAAACCGGAUCAGCGAAUGACUGAUCCCUUACUUGCUCCAAUGUCUGAGUUUUCUGUUUGUUGAAUAACAAAGUGGUCAACUAUUUUAACAGUAUUUAGUGGGUCCUGCUGAGAUGUAACUGCACGCCAUUUGCUAGGAAACCGUCGAUGGUGACUCAUCUGCUGUGGCUGCUUUGGCUCCGCAUCCCAUUGAGAAUCCAGUUUCCAUUCCUUUGGGAUCUUAUCAACUGCAAGGGUGAAAACUUCAAGAUUGCCAUCCUUAUUGAUGUGGAAUCGAGUGAAGGCCUUGUAAUUAGCAAUUCGGAGUGAGGAGAAUGCUUCAUCAAAGUGUAUGUGAAACCAGUUAAUGCAGAUGUACAAGUAACUUCCAAAAACCAAAGAAACAACGGGUGUUGAAAAGACCCAAAAGUAGAGGAAGACAGACGCAUAAUAGAUGACAGCACCCCCUCUUGACAGUGACUCAGUCCCAUUCUUGCAAAUAUUACUCCUUGUGACAGCCAUGACCUCAGGAACAUCAAAUGCAGACAUGAGAUAUUUGAUGCAAGCUGGAUAAAGGCCAAAUGUCCAUUGUUCUAUACGAGAUCGAAGACCUGUAGGGUCUGGAAAGUGCUCACUUUCCACUGAUCGGUACCACUGAUAUAAAGUGUGAUAACCUGAAGUUGCUAGUAGGUUAUGUCUGAUACACGUCUCAACACCCAGUUCCAAAAGCAACAUAAGAAUUAGAGCUGCUGCAAGGUGUGAAGAAACAUGAAGAAUCCCAAUAAUUGCCUGUUUCUUCCGAGACACUUUGGGUGGGACAAAUGCAAUUGCCACAAUUAGCAAUACCACAAGACCGGCCAAUGAUACAUAAGAGUGCUCCAACACAUACAUAAAAGCAUUCCACACUGUGCCAAAGAAACUCCACAAGUGGCCAGAAAAUGUAUCAUGUUGCAAAAUGUGGUCGAGCUUACACUGUGGGAACGUAGAAAAGCUCAACACAAAGUAUAUAAUGCCACCAAUGAAAUCAAAUUGCCAGUUCUUCUUUCGGAACUUCAAAAUAUUUCCCAGUGCAAUCUGCAACAUAAUAACAAGGAGCCAUAACACUACGAAAUUGAAGGAUAUAAAGUAACAAUAAGAAAUUGAAGGAUAUAAAGAUAUUACAAAGAAAGUUCAAAACAAAUCCAAAAACUACCCUGCUUGAAUCUUCUAAUGAAGGAUAGGCAGCCUUGGUCUCAUAGUUAGUUCCGUACAAUUCUUUGAAAUUACUGAAGACAUGGGUAGGAUGUAAAAAUGCUCCACCACAACCAUUUACAAGUAAAUGUUGCACAUGAACAGGCCUAUCUGAUGGAACAUAUGAAUGACGCAUAUAAUGAUGCAAAUCCCCAGCUAUUUGAAGCUUGCACCUUCCUUUCAAAUAAUCACAUAUCAGGUGCGAGACAUUCUUUCCAGAAACACUAUUCCAGUACCAAUCGAGCAGCCAAUUUGGUUCAUGUGUCAUAAUGAUCACUGAGUCAUUAUCUCCAACCUUCUCCUUUAUUAGUUCUGAAAAGAAUUUGAACUGGUACACAUCAAUAUCAUUAUGGAGUGCUAGAUCAAGACCAAAAACCCACCAUCUUUUAGGGAGUUGCAACGCAAAAUAGCUCUUCUUCUGGGGCAUAAACCACCCGCCUAACCAGCUCUUGUGACAUAUGUAUCUCAUGAAAGUAUGAAGUCCAUCAAACCAAUCAUGGUUUCCAGGGAUGACAAAACACUGAGGUCCAUCAUACUGCUUCAGUUCAGACACCCCAACAGGCAGCUCAGGCUUGUUUACAGAUACAUGCUCUGGUUUAUACCACGACGGAGGCUGUAGAGCAUAUUCAAAAGGGCAAAAGAGGCGCUUCUCAUAUGUGAAUGCUGAUGGAUUAGGAUACCUUUAAAUUGGGAGCCUAGUUUGUGGGACUGUUGCUACUGAAGUUCAAUUCUACUACAAUCCAAUUCAAUUCCCAAGAGCUGGCCAGAAAUUAUCCUUGCUUUAAUGGCAAGAUCCCCUCCUAUAAGAAGUAAGUUGCCACGCGGUAGGGAAAGCACAGAAUCACCUCUAGUAAGCUGAAUGGAAGGCUUUGCAAGUAGUCGUGCGACAGUAUAUGAUGAGUUCCCACCAUCACCAGUAUCAGCCAUGAAGUCAAACCACAGAUCUUCCUUCUCGCUGAAGUGAUCAUACAAAAGAUCUCCCUGUUGUUCUCCAUUUUCAACUUUAGUCAUUGCGGCCUGCAUCAUUCGCAUGUCAAAACGACCAACAAAUACAGUUACUGAUACCAAGAGGUCAAAGACAGUCUUGAAUAAGUCAGCAGAUGUUCCUGAAUACCAAGGAACCAUAUCCAAAAAAUCAGGCUUCAUCUGUUUUUUCUUCGACUUCUCAUACUCUUGAACUGACAAAGGGUGAGAAAGUGCCCACCCUGUCGACCUUUCGACAACAUAAUUGGCAAUGUAUAGACCAAUAAAAGUGGCCCAUAAUGAGUAUAUAGGAGAGAUUUCAUCAGAUGAACCUGCACAUCCACUUCCAUUACAACCUAACUCCCCAUAAAUAACCCACUUCGAUAGAAGUGGAUAAUCACUUGCGGACCCAACUGGAGCAAACCAAGAUGAACAGAACCUAUCUUUUAAUUCAUUCAUCCGGACGAGACUUGCCAGCCAUGUGUUUCUCUCCUCUUUCUUCCAUAAGGAAAACCAACCAGAAUUUCUUCUUGCUAACGGUCUAUCUCUCAAGAUAGCACGGUUACCACAGUGGCUAUAAAAUACACAGCAGGCUAUGCUGAGAACUGCACAGUUUUGGAGAAUGGUCAAGAUCUCUGGUCUCUUUCCAGCAACACGAGAAACAAGACCAACAUACCAUAAGCCAAGAAAAACAAUGUGGAAUACAAGAAGAAACAAAAUCGAAGAUACAUAUAUUGUCAAAAACAAGGACAAAUUCAUCCUCAAAUCAACUCCCAUUGACUGAAAACUAGGGAGAUGAUACAGAGCUGCAACUAAAAUCCAAGCUAUGUACCAUCGGCUGAAAUUUGAAUAGCUGGGUUUGAUAGUCUUCCCUAAAAAUGGUGAAGAAAAGAAAUAGAAGAAACCAAGUAGGCAGGCAUACAUAGACCACCACUUAACAUUCUUGUCCAACUUUUCCACGAGAGUAUGCAUGUUAUCUGAAGAGAUGAAAAAGAGGCAACCCACAACCACGGCAAUGAUAGCAUGACGUGAAUGCUCAUGCGGAUAAGGAUAUGUAUGUGUAAAAAUCGUCCUCACCCUCUCCAUUCUGAGGGUGUCUAAUAACCUAUCAGAACCCAUUGAGCAAUCUUGCACUAGUCCACUCUCACAAAAACAAAUUCAGACCUUUGGUAAAACAAAACCAGAACUCGUAAGCACCAAAAUACACCACAAAGACCGGCUCCAGGAUCCUGAGAGAGAUAUAGAGAGAGAUAGAACAGAGGCGAGAGGACAGAAAUGUGCAGAGACGGAAAGAGAGAGUGCAUGUGGAAGCCGAGCAAAUAAAAUGAAAAAGGAGGAGAUUGCUUAAACCGACUUGGCAUCUGAGAAUGUCUGACUCGUACAUAAGCAUGGCAUAUUCUCUUCAAUUCCCUUCUCCCCCUUCCCCCUCCCUGCCCAC